AAGCUUGUGCAGUGGCAGUAUCGUAGCCAACGAGGUUUAUCCAAGGUGUGAUUAUUGCUAAUUAAAAUAAUAAAUCAAUAUUUUAUCAAAUGAUUUUUCUUCACCUCUUAAGAUAAUUAUACAAUUGUUCUCAUUUAAUCUUUUAA
Small nuclear RNA from Suricata suricatta (meerkat), 146 nucleotides. Its record names the gene U4. It matches the Rfam family "U4 spliceosomal RNA". From Rfam's summary of the family: U4 small nuclear RNA (U4 snRNA) is a component of the major U2-dependent spliceosome. The structure of U4 snRNA from yeast and human has been reported. U4 snRNA presents a k-turn RNA motif in the 5p-SL related to recognition of Snu13 protein. Lineage: Eukaryota; Metazoa; Chordata; Mammalia; Carnivora; Herpestidae. The record is from Ensembl.